Long non-coding RNA from Zingiber officinale, 1029 nucleotides. RefSeq lists it as uncharacterized. The transcript has 3 exons. Lineage: Eukaryota; Viridiplantae; Streptophyta; Magnoliopsida; Zingiberales; Zingiberaceae. The record is from RefSeq and is a predicted model, not a curated record.
CGUCACCCUCUCUGUCAUUUCCUCUGGCGUAUGAGAGCUUCGUGAGGCUAUCGACGGCGCCGGCCGUGCCUGAUCCCAUGGCAGUCGCACUGUACUCUUUGUCGAUGAGAUCCACCGGUUCUCCAAGUUCCACGACGCCAUCGCAGCCUCGAAAGCUCGCGUCCUCGCGAGCUCUGCAGUUCACGGGAUCGCGAGUGUUGCUGCCUGCUGCUUGUAGCCUCGUGUGCGCUGUUGCCUGCCGCUCGCGAGUGUUGCUGCUUGCUGCUAGCGAUACUUGCACUCUAAAUUGACUCAUGGGCUUUCUUAAUGUAGUUGAAUUGAGAGCAUCAAAAUAUUAAUCAUCAAACAUGGAUCUACAAUGACAGUAUAUGAAAGCUGGACAUAAAAAUGAGUCAAAAAAUAUAGCAGAUCCAAGGAUCUACAAAAGCUGGACAUACGAAAGUUGGACAUGGAUCUACUUCUGGCUCUACUGAAGUAGUGAUCAAUCCUCUUAUUAAAAUGAACAAGAAAACAUAUAGCAGAUCCAAGGUGUCCAAGAGAAGUAAGAUGAAGCUAAGUACUUUUGUUGCCCACAAUUGUAAAUUUAGUAAAAACUUAUUUUUUUUAAUUUUCUGAUUAUGAUGGUGGCAUGCAGCAUGAAUUAUUUGAUAUUAUGAAAUGAGUUCAUGAACCACAAUUGCUUUAGCAAUUACACCUACUAAAGCAUUCAGUAUCCAUAAAUUCACAUCUCCUCUUUUAUCCUCCAUAUAAGAGUGUUCAAUAGUGAUGUGGAUGCAGAGGAAUCAUUCCUGUAAGGGUAUGAUUAUAUAUGAAAAUCUGGUUAGACCAUGGGAUUAACAAGAGCCAAGAGAUAUUUAUGGAAGUUGCAUUAUUUUAUUAGGCUGUUCUGGCUGUUAGGCAAAUUUAUGCAGUUCAAUAAUGCUAUAGUUGUUGAUACAUUCAUUGGACUUGAAAUUUUAUACAACUCAUCGUUUAUCAAAUUAAGAUGGACUUUGUAGUGAUCUAAUAUGACACAUUCUCAAGAUGACA